Molecule: long non-coding RNA, 1143 nt
Organism: Aquila chrysaetos chrysaetos
Lineage: Eukaryota; Metazoa; Chordata; Aves; Accipitriformes; Accipitridae
Exons: 2
Source: RefSeq, a predicted model, not a curated record
UCUGACCCCCAGCUGUGCAGUCGGGCUCCCAGCUCCUGGGCCAGCACUGAGCUAUGGGGCUCUCGGCAUACAUGCCUUGACACGUCUUUCCAUGCGCCAGAGAGUAACAAAUGGUCCUGCAUCAGUGAUUAUGACCCAAACUGGGGGAAAAGACCUGAGGAAUAAAAAGUUUGAUGCUUACCAACAGAGCUGUUGGCUUGUAACACAUCAAUAAUGUACAAAGCCCAUCAAAGCACUUGGUGAUUAGAGUUCCACAGCACACUGUAUCCUAUGGAGCAUUUAGAGUCCACUGUGCCAAUGAAGCACAAAUUGAGAGACAUGAUAUACACCCACACCAAGAAGCUUUUAAGAAAUGAGGGAAAAAUUCUAGAGCACUGAAAAAAAUAAAGACAGGAAGGAGGUUUUUUUUAACCACAAUAUUACUAUGAGAACAUGUUCAGAAACAUAACUGGGUGUCAAAGCUGAGCUUGUUCAACUUUUUUAGUCAUCUGUGGACAUCUCCCUCCAAUAUGAAGCAAUUUAAACAACUUUUCUGAGCAGCCUGUGAAUCAGGCCUCAUGCCCAGCUGUCCGCCUCUGUGGUCUGUGUUCAGGAAGAAGCAUGGCAGAUCCAACUCAAAAUCCAGGAGCUGAUCUUGCAGCAAGUAGAACAAAGUAUUAGCUCAGACUGCUGGAGAUGAAAAUCCCAAUCAAAUCUGAAGGUUGAGAUGUUUGGCUCAAGCACUUAUAUUGAACUGUGACUUCUUUGACAGAUGCUCUGAUCCAGAGUUUGACUUGCCUUCCUCUCAAGAGCAGCAUAAAUAGUGAAGAACAAGGCUCUUGCUGUUAAAUACCAAAUGCUUUAACGCCAUAGCUGAAGAUAUUUAGUCACUAAAAAUCUGAUGCAAUAAUGUUAGUGUUUCCAAACACCAAAGUCAAAAUCUUCUGGAGUGUUGCAAGGGAAGGAGGGGAUGUCAUUUGGCAACAGUGCCCCUGCGGGCUCUGUUACAGGUCACCCAGUCCCCUUGCACACAGGAGGUGCAGCCAACCCUGGCUCCUGCCAUGGUGAAAGUGAUAAGAGCUGCUCUUUUCUGAUGUAUAAACACCUUGAAAAAUGGUGUUGUGUGAGCAGAAUGGGUUUGCAAUUCCAACUAGACAGUUGAAA